AGUCGUUCUGCCCAUUGAAUUUAAAAGGCUGCGGUAUAUUAACUGUACUAAGGUAGCAAAAUAAAUAGUUUUUUAAUUGAAAACUUGAAUGAAAGAGUUAAUAAAAUAUAAAUUGUCUCAAAUAUUUAAUUUAAAUUAAAAGUUAAAAUGCUUUUAUUAAUUUAUUAGACGAUAAGACCCUAAGAAUUUUAUAAUUUAAUUAAUUUAUAGGAAUUUAAUUAAAUUAAAUUAUUUUAUUGGGAGGAUAAUUAAAUAAACUUUAAUUAAAAAAAUAUUGUUUAAUAAAUUUUAUGAUUAAAAUAUUGAUUAUUAGAAUAAAUUACCUUAGGGAUAACAGCGUAAUAAUUUUGGAGAGUUCAUAUUGAUAAAAUCGUUUGCGACCUCGAUGUUGAAUUAAAAUAAAAAUUAAAUGAAGAUAUUUAAAUUUUUAGUCUGUUCGACUAUUAAAAUUUUAC
RNAcentral lists this ribosomal RNA (455 nucleotides) under Brachygastra moebiana. Its description in RNAcentral is "partial large subunit ribosomal RNA". The stretch from base 330 to 455 matches the Rfam family "Bacterial large subunit ribosomal RNA", at positions 2473 to 2599 of the family's 2925-position model. The record is from RNAcentral. Lineage: Eukaryota; Metazoa; Arthropoda; Insecta; Hymenoptera; Vespidae.